This 671-nucleotide ribosomal RNA is filed under the name uncultured marine bacterium. RNAcentral's name for it is "bacterial SSU rRNA". It matches the Rfam family "Bacterial small subunit ribosomal RNA", at positions 268 to 957 of the family's 1533-position model. The record is from RNAcentral.
CCAAGCCUACGAUCUAUAGCUGGUUUGAGAGGAUGAUCAGCAACACUGGGACUGAGACACGGCCCAGACUUCUACGGAAGGCAGCAGUAGGGAAUCUUGGACAAUGGGCGAAAGCCUGAUCCAGCCAUGCCGCGUGAGUGAUGAAGGCCCUAGGGUUGUAAAGCUCUUUCGCCAGGGAAGAUAAUGACGGUACCUGGUAAAGAAACCCCGGCUAACUCCGUGCCAGCAGCCGCGGUAAUACGGAGGGGGUUAGCGUUGUUCGGAAUUACUGGGCGUAAAGCGCACGUAGGUGGAUUAGUCAGUCAGAGGUGAAAUCCCAGGGCUCAACCCUGGAACUGCCUUUGAUACUGCUAGUCUAGAGUUCGAGAGAGGUGAGUGGAAUUCCAAGUGUAGAGGUGAAAUUCGUAGAUAUUUGGAGGAACACCAGUGGCGAAGGCGGCUCACUGGCUCGAUACUGACACUGAGGUGCGAAAGUGUGGGGAGCAAACAGGAUUAGAUACCCUGGUAGUCCACACCGUAAACGAUGAAUGCCAGUCGUCGGCAAGUAUACUUGUCGGUGACACACCUAACGGAUUAAGCAUUCCGCCUGGGGAGUACGGUCGCAAGAUUAAAACUCAAAGGAAUUGACGGGGGCCCGCACAAGCGGUGGAGCAUGUGGUUUAAUUCGAAGC